This 1419-nucleotide ribosomal RNA is filed under the name Triticum aestivum (bread wheat). RNAcentral's name for it is "partial small subunit ribosomal RNA". The record is from RNAcentral. Lineage: Eukaryota; Viridiplantae; Streptophyta; Magnoliopsida; Poales; Poaceae.
AUGCGUGGCAUCCGUCUUUGGGGUGUUCUUUCUGGCGAGGUCUGCUGUCCGCCACGUCCAGUUCCUCCGGUGGCCCCUACUCCGCCAACUCCAUCGGUUCUUCCUACGGAUGCUAAUCAGGCCGCCAAGGAUGCGGCUAAGGUUGCUGAUGAGACUGCUGAUCGUGCUUAUGAUGAGAGGGUUUUGGCUUAUGAGGAGGCUCUUCAGUUGUAUCAUGGUGCUCUGUCUGCUUACACCCAGUGGCUUGAUGAUGAUGCUCGUGCUGCAGCUGUUCUCACUGCUAGUGUUCUGCCUCAGUUUGCUUCUGAAUUUCUGGGUCUUUCUACUGCCUUUGAGAUCUGGACCCGUCUUCGUGAGCGCUAUCAGCCCUCUGGUGAUGCCUUAUACCUCUCUGUGAUCCGUCAGGAGCAUGCUCUUCAGCAGGGUGACUCUACUGUUGAUGACUUCUAUGCACAGAGUUCUGCUAUCUGGCGCCAGCUUGAUUCUCUCCGUAGUGCUGGGUGUCGUACCUGCCCCUGUUGCCAGGCUGUCCAGGCUAAUUUGGAGUUUCAUCGCGUCUAUGAGUUCCUGUCUCGGCUCCGUAAGGAGUUUGAGCCCCGGCGUGCUCAGUUGUUUGCUCGUGGUCGUAUUUCUCUCAUGGAGGCGCUUUCUGAGAUUCGUGCUGAGGAGACUCGCUUAUGUGGUGCUGGUUUGCUGGAGGUUCCCUCUGUGCUCGCUACUCGUGCUCCUACGCCACCUGCUCCAUCGACCUCUUCUCGCUCGAGUGCUACGCCGCUCUUGCCCACUCCCUCUGGAGGCUCAGGUCGCCCCCGUCCACAUUGCGCCUAUUGCAACAAUGAUGGUCAUCUUGAGUCUCAGUGCUACACGAAGAAGAAACACCUGCGCAAGGCUCGAUCAUCAUCUUCAGGGACUUCGUCAUCUACCUCGACAGCUUCAGCCAUUGCUUUGACUGAACAAGAUAUUUUGAGACUUAAGCGUCUGCUCGCGGCUUCAGGUUCUUCCUCGACGGGUACUGCCGGUUCUGUGACUGAUGCUUCCCGCACUGAGCAAUCACCCUCUACACAGUCAGGUACAUCCCCAUGGGUUCUGGACUCUGGAGCUUCUUUUCAUAUGUCUUCUCAUUCUUCCACUUUGUCCUCUCUUCGAUCACUGGAUUCUCCUAUUCAUGUCUUCACUGCUGAUGGUACUCCACUUUCUGUUGCUAGUAGAGGCAAUCUUACUACUCCUUAUUCUGUUCCUGAUGUUGCUCAUGUUCCUCGACUUACCAUGAAUUUGUUUUCUGCUGGUCAACUUACGGAUUCUGGUUGUCGCGUCAUCCUCGACAUUGACUCUUGUUCUGUCCAGGACCGUCACACGCACACUCUGGUUGGGGUUGGCCCUCGCCGCCGUGACUCUCAGGGUCUUUGGGAGUUGGACUAG